This 552-nucleotide ribosomal RNA is filed under the name uncultured soil bacterium. RNAcentral describes it as "bacterial SSU rRNA". It matches the Rfam family "Bacterial small subunit ribosomal RNA", at positions 103 to 661 of the family's 1533-position model. The record is from RNAcentral.
CGGGUGAGUAACACGUGGGUAACCUGCCUCAAAGAGGGGAAUAGCCUCCCGAAAGGGAGAUUAAUACCGCAUAAUAUGUCAAGGCCGCGUGGCCUUAACAUCAAAGGAUUUUCUUCGGAAAUUCCACUUUGAGAUGGACCCGCGGCGCAUUAGCUAGUUGGUGAGGUAACGGCUCACCAAGGCGACGAUGCGUAGCCGACCUGAGAGGGUGAUCGGCCACAUUGGAACUGAGACACGGUCCAGACUCCUACGGGAGGCAGCAGUGGGGAAUAUUGCGCAAUGGGGGAAACCCUGACGCAGCAACGCCGCGUGAAUGAUGAAGGCCUUCGGGUUGUAAAGUUCUGUCUUCUGGGACGAUAAUGACGGUACCUGAGGAGGAAGCCACGGCUAACUACGUGCCAGCAGCCGCGGUAAUACGUAGGUGGCAAGCGUUGUCCGGAUUUACUGGGCGUAAAGGAUGCGUAGGCGGACAUUUAAGUCAGAUGUGAAAUACCCGAGCUUAACUUGGGUGCUGCAUUUGAAACUGGGUGUCUAGAGUGCAGGAGAGGUAAG